This 403-nucleotide long non-coding RNA is filed under the name Carica papaya (papaya). Its description in RNAcentral is "long non-coding RNA (CPAP_LNC007918)". The record is from RNAcentral. Lineage: Eukaryota; Viridiplantae; Streptophyta; Magnoliopsida; Brassicales; Caricaceae.
AUGGUCUUCACAAGCAUUCUAAGGCCGUUUCAACAGGAACCAUGAGCAUUGGCCUGCUGACAACUGUUCUCUCAGUUGUGUACUCUGCUGUUCGUGCUGGGUCUUCUACGACCCUUCUUUCUCCUCCAAGUUCUCCCCGUGCAGGUAAUGUACGAAUCUCAAAAAGAAAAUUCAUGUAAGUAGAUGUCUUAUUCUGGAAAGGAGAAAGUAAAGUAAGGUAUCUCCAAUAUUUGUGGGUUGGUCUAAUGUUUUGGUUUCUCUGGUGAAGGUUCUGAUAAACCUCUGCUUCCGUUGGAUGGGAAGAAAGAGGAAGAGAAGACAAAGCCAGUAACAUAUUCUUAUUCCUUCUUCCAUAUCAUAUUUUGUCUUGCAAGUAUGUAUUCUGCCAUGCUUCUAACUGGGU